Molecule: long non-coding RNA, 1025 nt
Organism: Cannabis sativa
Lineage: Eukaryota; Viridiplantae; Streptophyta; Magnoliopsida; Rosales; Cannabaceae
Exons: 2
Source: RefSeq, a predicted model, not a curated record
AAUUUGCGGCGUAAAUACCUAAGUUUAACUCCCAGUUGCAGAUAAAUACCUAACUUAUUUUUUUGGCGGUAAAAAUACCUUCUGUCAAUAUUUUGUUGCAAAUGGAGUACCUCACGUUAAAUUCUCUGUUAAAUGACAACUAGACACACACAUGACAUUAUUUAAUUGGUCCAAGUCAUUUAUUUUUAAUUUAUUAUAUAAAAAUUCAUUCAAAAAUUAUAAAAUCAUUUAAAUUAAAAAAAAUUAUUUAAAAUUCAUUUAAAAUAUAUAAAAAUUAAAUUAAUAUAAAAAAAAAAUCAGAGAAAUUGUUCAUAAACAAAUUGCAACAUCAUCUUCCCCAACUUUCAAACUAUCCAUAUAGACACAAACUCAAAUCUCUCCCCGUUUAUCCUCCUACUAUUCUAAAAGUAAUUAAAUAAUCAAAUAACAUAAAAAACAAAUCAAAAGCUCCUCUGGCGAGAUCUAAUAGAUUGGUGGUCGGGAACGAAGACCUCCCAUGGUGGUGAGCCAUCGACGUCGACAGAGCUACUUGUAGGAGGAGAAGUUGCAUCAUGCCGUCGCCAUGGUGUUUGGUUCAUUGCUAGUCGAAAUCUGCCAUUAACAGUGUGAGAUGGGGUUUUGGGUUUCAGGAUCUCUGAAAGACGACGGUAGUCGCUCCGAGGGUUAUCUGAAGGCAAGGACGCUCUCUUCGGUUUGGAUCGAGUGGGUUAUUUGGGCAAAUAAGUAAUAAAUUUCUCAGAUCUGAGUGAGUCUUUUUCUACUUUGAAUAAAAAGUUUAGGGAUUAUUUUAGAUGUGUUUGAUGGGUUUGUGAAGAGCAUGAUUCCUUAAAAAUGUCUGUAAUUUUUCUUAUUCAUGAAUCAGAUUUCUUUAUUCUUUUUUAUUUGCUAAGAUGAUGAAUGAGACGAUCAGAUUGAGAAGACAGAGGUGGUGUUGUGUUUUUUUUUUUUUUUUGUUAAUGCUUUUGUGAAGAAUUAAUUGUAAUAUUAAAGAGAGAUUUUUGCAAUAAUUAGUUAGAUUUAGAUUG